Molecule: ribosomal RNA, 497 nt
Filed under: uncultured bacterium
Lineage: Bacteria
Description: partial 16S ribosomal RNA
Rfam family: Bacterial small subunit ribosomal RNA
Source: RNAcentral
GAUGAACGCUGGCGGCGUGCCUAAUACAUGCAAGUCGAGCGAACAGACGAGGAGCUUGCUCCUCUGACGUUAGCGGCGGACGGGUGAGUAACACGUGGAUAACCUACCUAUAAGACUGGGAUAACUUCGGGAAACCGGAGCUAAUACCGGAUAAUAUAUUGAACCGCAUGGUUCAAUAGUGAAAGACGGUUUUGCUGUCACUUAUAGAUGGAUCCGCGCCGCAUUAGCUAGUUGGUAAGGUAACGGCUUACCAAGGCAACGAUGCGUAGCCGACCUGAGAGGGUGAUCGGCCACACUGGAACUAAGAAACGGUCCAGACUCCUACGGGAGGCAGCAGUAGGGAAUCUUCCGCAAUGGGCGAAAGCCUAACGGAGCAACGCCGCGUGAGUGAUGAAGGUCUUCGGAUCGUAAAACUCUGUUAUUAGGGAAGAACAAAUGUGUAAGUAGCUAUGCACGUCUUGACGGUACCUAAUCAGAAAGCCACGGCUAACUACGUG